This 253-nucleotide ribosomal RNA is filed under the name uncultured bacterium. Its description in RNAcentral is "partial 16S ribosomal RNA". It matches the Rfam family "Bacterial small subunit ribosomal RNA", at positions 524 to 776 of the family's 1533-position model. The record is from RNAcentral.
GACGUCGGGCGCGAGCGUUGUCCGGAUUUAUUGGGCGUAAAGAGCUCGUCGGCGGCUUGUCGCGUCGACCGUGAAAACUUGGGGCUCAACCCCAAGCCUGCGGUCGAUACGGGCAGGCUAGAGUUCGGUAGGGGAGACUGGAAUUCCUGGUGUAGCGGUGAAAUGCGCAGAUAUCAGGAGGAACACCGGUGGCGAAGGCGGGUCUCUGGGCCGACACUGACGCUGAGGAGCGAAAGCGUGGGGAGCGAACAGG